RNAcentral lists this ribosomal RNA (1464 nucleotides) under uncultured Bordetella sp. RNAcentral describes it as "partial 16S-23S ribosomal RNA intergenic spacer". It matches the Rfam family "Bacterial small subunit ribosomal RNA". The record is from RNAcentral. Lineage: Bacteria; Pseudomonadati; Pseudomonadota; Betaproteobacteria; Burkholderiales; Alcaligenaceae.
AGAGUUUGAUUCUGGCUCAGAUUGAACGCUGGCGGAUGCUUUACACAUGCAAGUCGAACGCAGCACCAGUGACUUCGGUCUGCGUGGCGAGUGGCGAACGGGUGAGUAAUGUAUCGGAACGUGCCUAGUAGCGGGGGAUAACUACGUGAGCGUAGCUAAUACCGCAUACGCCCUUCGGGGGAAAGCGGGGACCUUCGGGCCUCGCACUAUUAGAGUGGCCGAUAUCGGAUUAGCUAGUUGGUGGGGUAACGGCUCACCAAGGCGACGAUCCGUAGCUGGUUUGAGAGGACGACCAGCCACACUGGGACCGAGACACGGGCCCAGAUCUACGGGAGGCAGCAGUGGGGAAUUUUGGACAAUGGGGGAAACCCCCAGAUCCAGCCAUCCCGCGUGUGCGAUGAAGGCCUUCGGGUUGUAAAGCACUUUUGGCAGGAAGAAACGGCACGGAUAAUACCCGUGCACCGAUGGUACCUGCAGAAUAAGCACCGGCUAACUACGUGCCAGCAGCCGCGGUAAUACGUAGGGUGUAAGCAUGUUGACCGGAAUUACUGGGCGUGAAGCGUGCGCAGGCGGUUCGGAAAGAAAGAUGUGAAAUCCCAGAGCUUAACUUUGGAACUGCAUUUUUAACUACCGAGCUAGAGUGCGUCAGAGGGAGUGGACCGCGUAGCAGUGAAAUGCAGAUAUGCAGAGGAACACCGAUGCUAUAGCAGCCUGGGAUAACACUGAUCGCUCAUGCACGAAAGCGUGGGGAGCAAACAGGAUUAGAUACCCGGUAGUCCACGCCCUAAACGAUGUCAACUAGCUGUUGGGGCCUCUCUGGGCCUUGGUAGCGCAGCUAACGUUGCGAAGUUGACCGCCUGGGGAGUACGGUCGCAAGAUUAAAACUCAAAGGAAUUGACGGGGACCUGCAUUGUUGCGGAUGAUGAUUAAUUCGAUGCAACGCGAAAAACUCACUUACUCUUGACAUGUCCGGAAUCCCGAAGAGAUUUGGGAAAUGCUCGCAAGAGAACCGAACACAGGUGCCAAAAGGGCUGUCGUCAGCUCCGCCGAGAUGUUAAGUCCCGCAACGAGCAACCCCUUGUCAUUAGUUGCUACGAGCAGCACCUUAAUGAGACUGCCGGUGGAGAACUGGAGGAAGGUGGGGUUGAUGUCGAGUCUCAUGGCCCUUAUGGGUAGGGCUUCACACUACAGCAGAAUGGUCGGGACAGAGACGCCAACCCGCGAGGGGGAGCCAAUCCCAGAAACCCGAUCGUAGUCCGGAUCGCAGUCUGCAACUCGACUGCGUGAAGUCGGAAUCGCUAGUAAUCGCGGAUCAGCAUGUCGCGGUGAAUACGUUCCCGGGUCUUGUACACACCGCCCGUCACACUAGCGGGAGUGGGUUUUACCAGAAGUAGUUAGCCUAACCGUAAGGAGGGCGAUUACCACGGUAGGAUUCAUGACUGGGGUGAAGUCGUAACAAGGUAG